UGACUUCCCGGCUUUCCUUUAAGGAGGUGGUUAGUCCUCUGUGCCUGUGACCCAUCCACAGACUGGAGAGCCACAUCAUGGCCACGGUGUGGACCUUUAUCCCCGCCCGGCCUUACCGUGGGAAAAGGCUCUCGGGAUAUAGAUGAGUGGAGACAAAGUUGAAAGAAACUUCCCGGCCAGCCGGUGGCCAGUCUCCGUGGCUUGUGUUGGGACUAGAGGCGCGCUGGCUUCAGCUCGCAAGUUGGAAUUAAGAAAUAUGUCCGAAAGCCUAGUAAUUUCAAUCAUACUCAAAACAUUAGGUCUGUGUAUGACAUUCACCGAGUGUGUCUGGCUGACGUCAUGUUUACAUCCGCGGUACCGAUAACGCCGAACCUCAUCGGCAGGUUUCGGUGUGGACUUUUUAAGUUUUCAAGUCUAGGGGAGAGAGGGGCUGUGUCUUGGGCAGCAGGGUCAGCAGCGGUAACUAGGGAAGCGGAGGCAUAUGAAACAUGGAAUUUUCAACUCAGGGAGCACAGUUCUAUGGCAGAGAGGUAUAAACUCACUUUCUCAUUGGUACACCGUUGUACAGUCUUUACGGUGAGAUACCCAGAAAUGGUUUUCAGCAGUUUCAUAAAAAUUGAAUCACAUUGCUUUAAAAUUGAGUGUAUUUCAAAAAGCUAGUGACCAAGUUUUAGACCUGUCUUCUUUCCUGAUCCUUUUCUAAUAUUAACCUUUUUUUGAUAUUUCAAAUAAUUGUUAAUUUCUAGAGAUAUACAUACAUUUUAGAUAAUUUUCUAAAAUGAAGGUUUACUAUUAAAGUACAUUUACUUACAUGACAGUAUGUUUAAGUUAGAAAAAUAAUAUUUCUGUAAUAAUUUGAGUCUUCUUUGUAUGUGAAUAGAAUGGUGACAGUGUCUCUUGGAUUUUUAAGUAAGAAAUUCCAGUUCCAGUUCAGGGAGAUGGCACUGCCAGAAGGUGCUUGUCUCCAACCCAAAUGUCCUGAUCCAUAGGACCUACAUGGUAGAAAGAGAGAACCUAUUCUCACUUCUCCUCUUGCAUGUAAUAAAAAAUUAAAAAAAAAUAGAAAUUAUAAUUUGGUUAAGGUAGAAGUGGCAUUUUAGUAGAGGCUUCAUUAAUCAAUGUCAAUAACAUCUAUAGAAAAUGCAGGCAUUUAAUGGCAGAUGCUUUUAAUUAAUUUCAUUUUUAACUUUGUACUGACAGCUAGGCAGUGGUGGCACAGGCUUUUAAUCCCAGCACUGGGGAGGCAGAAGCAGGUGGAUCUCUGUGAGUUUGAGCCAGCCUGGUCUACAGAGCAAGUUCUAGAACAGCCAGAACUGUUACACAGAGAAACCCUAUCUCAAAAUAAAAAAGAUUGCACUAACAAUGCACAGCUUGACAGCUUUAUGGUACUAGGUGAACAUAUAAACAUGUUUCAACACUUUGUUUUGUAACAAUUUGAUAAUUAUAAAGGAUUUCUAUGUCAAAAUGUCCUAAUUUUAAUUGUAGAGACUCAAUUUAAAACUCAUAAAUCAAGGAAACCAGUUACACAUUUAUUCACUUUACCUUAGAUUUUCUUAAAGUAUAUUAUAAUGCAUAUUUCCUGUAUCUGAUAUUCUCUACAUCUUGACAUUUGCUCUAUUGUUUAGCCAUAUCCCAAGACGUGCCUACCAGUUUUGAAGGAUUUUUGCUUUUUGAGACAGAGUCUCACUCUGUAGACCUGGCUGGCUUUGAACUGAAGAGAUCUGUCUGCUUUUGCCUCCCAAGUGCUGAGAUGAAAGGCUAGUACCACUAUACCAACUCAAUUUGGAUUAUCUGUUUAUAUGGCAGCAGUGUUGGGGAUUGAACCUGUGGGUUCUUGCAUGUAAGAUUGGCAGUCUACCAACAGAGCUAUAUAUACAACUAUACAUGGUUUUCUAUGCCAGACUACUAGAAAAAGAUAGGGUUUUGUUGUUUGUUUGUUUGUUUGUGGUACUGUGUUCAAAGCAGAGAAAUGUUCUUUUUAAUUAAGUUACAAGUAUGUAUUUUAUAUGAUUAUAUUGUGAUAUAAGUUGCAAUUUUGAAUGCAUACUUCAUUAAAUUACUUUCUUCUCUUUAUCCUUUUCCUAAGCAUGUAAUUCAUAGUUGGUUAUUUUGUGCAUGUAAAUGAGUUCUCUUUUAAAUAUUUAUACAUAAUAUGUUUUGCUUGAUCCCCUUGCUCUUUCCAGCUAGUCCAAAAGAGGACAUACAUAUUAAGCACUGAGAAAUUUUAAAGGUGAAAUAGAAAGUCUUUUUUUUUUUAAUCCUUGAAGGAUUAGAUUCCAUUUUGCAUUGUAAUAGUUACUGAACAAACAGUACUUUGGUGCUGUUAGUAAAUGGUAUGGUAAUUUAUUUUACAACAGAAACCCAAUUUUCCAUCUGAUGAGUGACAAGCUCUGUGUAAUUGCUGGCCCACCAUUAUUUCCAUUUUCAACAUCUUCUCAUCCUUCACAAUUACAGGAUUUAUUCUUUGCUGAAGGUGGAAGAGGUGGCGGCAGGCCUUACUGUCUUGGCCCAGUGUCAGGCUGGGGUUCCUUGCCUGGGACUGUAUCCCUGGUGUAAACUAUACCCUAGAGGUUGGACCAGAGUCAGUUGGCUUCCUAUUGUGAUUUUCAGGGGAUUAGAUUAUUGAAUUAUGCUUGCUGUUGCGUAUUUAAAAACAAAUAUAACGGUACAGUGCUGUCAGUAGACUACAUAGCAUAUGGAAGUCAUCAUCCAUUAACACCGGUGCUGUCUUCCAGUCCCUGGCCAGCUAAAACAUAUGCUUCAACACAGCAGAAAGUUCUUUUUUUUUUUUUCUUUUUAUGGGUGCUAGAUAAGUAAAACUUUAGUUUAUCUUUUCCUAGACACAACUUGGUCUUGUUGAUGCCCAUGUAGAAGAGAAAAGUUGCUUCCCUGCUAUAUUCAUUCACAUUUACUUCAUGAAGAUAGGACAACUAUCUGACUUUCAGGGGUGUUCUUAGCUAACAUAGAUAGUGACAUGAAAACAAGUGCUCACCUAGUCUGAAACAAUUAGUAAGUCAAGACUACAUGUUUUUUAGUCUUGCAUAGAUGAUAAAAAUGAAUUUAUUUACAUUUCUAGGUCAUGUGACUACCUUGUUUUGAACUGAAAUUCUAUAAGAGCAAUUUAAAAUGUUCAUAACUAGCUAACUGCUAUGAAAUAGGCAGGGACUAUAUUGAAAGCUUCUGUACUGCAAUUUCCAGAUGAAUCUCAGGCUAGUCCAUAAAAUUGCCUUUUGCUGUAUUUUAUCAUUUAUAGACUUUUAUCCAAUAUUUCUAAAUUCUUAUUAGGGACAUCAUGCCAAGUUGCUUAAGUUCAAGUACAAGGUUAUUGUCCUUUAGAUACAAAGUGUGAUUGCAAUCUAACAUUACAUUUUCAAGUAAAGGGGUAUGUCAAGAAUCCUCUUGUUUGAAGCAUAAAGGAAAGGCGUUUACGUCAACCUGUGGCUUUUAGGCAAAGCUUCUUGGGGCAGAGCAUGUAUAAGAAAUAGCCACUUAAGGAAAGUAUAUUUCAGACAGAGAAGUAAAGCAAAGAAGUGGAGAGAAAAUAUGAGAUUGAAGCAUGACGAGAAAGGGAGCAAGGGUAUAUUGAGCUCCUGGGUCUUUGAGUGUCAUGCUACAAAGGAUUUUAAGUUAUAUAGUUCCUGAGGCUAAUAAAGGCAACUAUUUCCAAAUGCUUUUAGUAUUGUAUUCUGUAAUCUCUACAUUCAUGAGCUCUUUUCAUUUGAUAACCUUGGAAUGAAUAUUACAAUGAAUAACUUUUAAGUUGAGUUGGUUAGAGGUUUAGAAGGAUGUUUAUUUACUGUUCAUCAUACUGGCUUUCUCCAUUCAGUUCAGCCAAGGCACAGAUCAAAUCUAACAAUUCUUUCUCUUCCUUCAUUGAUUCAUAUCUGAAUUCUUAUUGUAAUUAUUAUAAUGGGAGUUAAUGAAAAAACUGGAAAGAGUAUGACAUCAUACUAGUGUAUGAUUGAAAUCUUACUUGUAUCUUCUGUUAUGCAUUUAUGCCUUCUGGCACUGUGUCUAUAAUUGCUUACAAACACACAUUUACUAAGUCCCUUAAGAUAUUUUCAUUGGUGUAGUCUGAUGAUAAAAUAUUAAAUGAUUUCAUUGAGUAAGAUAUAUUGGCAAUUUUGUAAAUUUAGGAUGUUAAUAUUCUUGUUAGAAUUGGUUAUAAGUCUAUAAAUUGUAGAAGAGAAGAUCUAUGGAUUGUUUAUUAGAAUUGAGAAUUGGGUGGUAAUUUUAGGACAUACAAGGAGAGACAGAACUGAUGGGUAGCCUGAAUGUAUAUUACAUGACAGACAAACCCUGUUUGUGAAGAUGUUAAUGGAUAGAGAUGACAUUUGUGCUCUAUUAUAGGCAAAAUUGGCUAGAGGAGGAGAAAUAGCAAAAUAUCUGGACUGACAGCUCUUUUAAGUAAACAGAAGGAGGCAAACAAGAAAGCUAUAUGGAUCCUUAAACAGAUUUCAAUACAGAUAAUAUAAUGUGACCAGUGAAACUGCAUGUCUUCAGAACUAAGAAGGUAUGAAAAAGUUAACUGAGCACCAGGUGGAAAGGCACAGGCCUAUUAUCCUAGCAUUCAAGAGAUAGGAUUAUAACUAGUUCAAGGUGAGCAGGGAUUAAACAGAGUUUUCUAGGCUAACCUAGCCUGCAUAGUGAGACCCUUAAAAACAAACAAACCAGACGACUGCCCACUUUGGUCAUUUUCUGCCAAUAUUGUCACUUGUCUUUUAUGUGUUUUUACAUUUCUUUUUUCUUAUAAGAACACUAGUCUUAGUGGAUUAGGACCUACAUUAAUGGUCUCAUUUUAAGUUAUCACCACCUUAAAAGCCCUUAUCUGAAAAAGCAGAUUCAGUGUCAGGUACUUGGGGUUAAUAUUUCACUAACAAAUACAAGGAAGAUGUAGUUUGGCUUAUAAUGGUAGCUGUUAGGAUUUGAAUAUACUUUGUCCUCUAAACUUGAGUUGAAUUCCCAUUGUGAGGUGCUUUCCUUCCCCUUUGAAGACAAGGUUUUGUUGUGUAGUCCUGGAAGACCUCAUACUUACUGUAUAUUUCAGGCCAGCCUCAACUCUUAGCAAUCCUGCCUGCCUUCAGACUGGUUUAGCCUCUGAGUGCUGGGGCUAUAGGUGUGAGCACCAUCACACCCAGCCAUUGUGAGGUAGUAAGAGGAUGAGGACUUCGAGUCUGUGGUUAGAGUCACUGGGAAGUGAUUAGGAUUAUUAGAUAAGGUCCUUAGGUUAGAACCCCCUGUGGUGAUGAAGCAUCUUAGUGACUUUAUGAAACAACGAGGGAAAGAGACCAGGCAUGCACACACUUCUUGUCUCUUGCCAUAUGAUGCUUUGUGAUAUCUUGGGACUCUCCAGCAAGAAGGCCACCAUCAUUUGAGGAUCCUUGGCCUUGUACUUCCAGAACUGUAAGCUAAAAUGAGCACAUUUUCUUUAUUAUUAGUUCAAUGACUAUAUUGGACUUCCAAUAUAGUAACAAGAAGCAGACUGUACAGCCUUCUAGUUGGAAUGAAGAGUAAAUGGAAUGCAGACCUAAGAGCAUUUCAGCUCAGAUGUUUGUUUUUCGGGAGACUGCAUUGGUAGUCUUACUCCUAGAGAUGUAUCUCCAACUACCUAGAGAAGUGUUUUUCUGCAGGGCCAAAGGUUACAGAGAAACAAUUUACAGAUCUGAAAAUCGAACAGAAAACUGUAUUCUAGACACACUGUCUGUUUGCUAAGUAGAAGAUAGUAGUUGGCAUUUGAAUGAAGCAAAAUGAAAAAACAGUUGCUCUCAAGCAGGAAGUGUUGGGAUGUGGCAAUGGGAACACUCUAGAAGGCUAUAGGAGAGUGCUAGUAGAAUAAUCCUUGGUCUUUCAUUAGGCAGAGAGUCCACCAUAAUUACAUGAAUUCAGUUACUAUGAAAUAGUAGUUUGAUAGUAAAAUUUAAUAAAGUUUUAAUAUCAGUUAAUAAUUCCAUAUUAAAACUAGUUACAUAAAGUCUCAAAAGUUGCAGACAGUAUGAACUUCAGGUUUGGAUUUGAACUCUGGGUUAGUAAUUUGGUUAUGAUCAGUCUCUGGCCCAGCAAAAUGAUUGUGUUUUCAUGCAUGGCAUACUCAGUAUUGGGCUCUGCCGGAGGAAGAGCUAAUUCGUAAGGUGCAGGGGAAUUUCUAGAUUCAGUUUGCAAAGUAACCAAUCCAUGAACAGAUCCUAUUUCUUGUAUUUCAGGGGACUGUAAUAUAAUUCACAAAAUGUGAAUGUGCCACCAAGUUUGUUUUGGCCAUAUGAAGUUAAAACAAAAGUCAUUACAUUGCUAUACUAAAUUACACAGGUGUGUGAAAAUUGUAGCUUUAAAGAAUAAUAGUUCACAGCUAAAUAAAGUGAUCACCUCAUUUCAUUUUUGUCAUAAUGAUUUCUUACUGUUUUUAUAGUAAUGUCAUUUGGGAAUGAAGUCGGUAGCUUUGUUUAGGUGCCAUAGAGGAGGUGGUACCAGUUUCUGUCUGUGUGUGCUUCUGGUGUUUUUUUUUUUUUUUUUUUUUUUUUUUUUUAUAGCAUAAAC
This is a non-coding RNA of Cricetulus griseus (Chinese hamster), 6531 nucleotides long. The record is from RefSeq and is a predicted model, not a curated record. NCBI's taxonomy places the organism in Eukaryota, Metazoa, Chordata, Mammalia, Rodentia, Cricetidae.